AACGCUGGCGGCAGGCCUAACACAUGCAAGUCGAGCGGUAACAGAGAUAGCUUGCUAUCUGCUGACGAGCGGCGGACGGGUGAGUAAUGCUUGGGAAUAUGCCUUUAGGUGGGGGACAACAGUUGGAAACGACUGCUAAUACCGCAUGAUGUCUACGGACCAAAGUGGGGGACCUUCGGGCCUCACGCCUAAAGAUUAGCCCAAGUGGGAUUAGCUAGUUGGUUGAGGUAAAGGCUCACCAAGGCAACGAUCCCUAGCUGGUUUGAGAGGAUGAUCAGCCACACUGGAACUGAGACACGGUCCAGACUCCUACGGGAGGCAGCAGUGGGGAAUAUUGCACAAUGGGCGCAAGCCUGAUGCAGCCAUGCCGCGUGUGUGAAGAAGGCCCUAGGGUUGUAAAGCACUUUCAGCGAGGAGGAAAGGUUAUAGUUUAAUAGACUAUAGCUGUGACGUUACUCGCAGAAGAAGCACCGGCUAACU
RNAcentral lists this ribosomal RNA (480 nucleotides) under uncultured Gammaproteobacteria bacterium. RNAcentral describes it as "bacterial SSU rRNA". It matches the Rfam family "Bacterial small subunit ribosomal RNA", at positions 32 to 502 of the family's 1533-position model. Lineage: Bacteria; Pseudomonadati; Pseudomonadota; Gammaproteobacteria. The record is from RNAcentral.